AUGAACGCUGGCGGCGUGCCUAAUACAUGCAAGUCGAGCGAACGGACGAGAAGCUUGCUUCUCUGAUGUUAGCGGCGGACGGGUGAGUAACACGUGGAUAACCUACCUAUAAGACUGGGAUAACUUCGGGAAACCGGAGCUAAUACCGGAUAAUAUUUUGAACCGCAUGGUUCAAAAGUGAAAGACGGUCUUGCUGUCACUUAUAGAUGGAUCCGCGCUGCAUUAGCUAGUUGGUAAGGUAACGGCUUACCAAGGCAACGAUGCAUAGCCGACCUGAGAGGGUGAUCGGCCACACUGGAACUUAGACACGGUCCAGGCUCCUACGGGAGGCAGCAGUAGGGAAUCUUCCGCAAUGGGCGGAAGCCUUACGGAGCAACGGCGCGUGAGUGAUGAAGGUCUUCGGAUCGUAAAACUCUGUUAUUAGGGAAGAACAUAUGUGUAAGUAACUGUGCACAUCUUGACGGUACCUAAUCAGAAAGCCACGGCUAACUACGUG
RNAcentral lists this ribosomal RNA (496 nucleotides) under uncultured bacterium. RNAcentral describes it as "partial 16S ribosomal RNA". It matches the Rfam family "Bacterial small subunit ribosomal RNA", at positions 29 to 507 of the family's 1533-position model. The record is from RNAcentral.